Molecule: unclassified non-coding RNA, 316 nt
Filed under: Basidiomycota sp.
Lineage: Eukaryota; Fungi; Basidiomycota
Description: partial contains small subunit ribosomal RNA, internal transcribed spacer 1, and 5.8S ribosomal RNA
Rfam family: Eukaryotic small subunit ribosomal RNA (bases 1-47)
Source: RNAcentral
AAAGUCGUAACAAGGUUUCCGUAGGUGAACCUGCGGAAGGAUCAUUAUUGAAUGAACUUGGCUUGGUUGUUGCUGGCUUCUUUGGAAGUAUGUGCACACCUUGUCAUCUUUAUAUCUCCACCUGUGCACCUCUUGUAGACCUGGAUUCAACUUUCCGAGGUAACUCGGUCGUGAGGAAUUGCUUAAUGAGCUUUCCUUGAAAGUUUCCAGGCCUAUGUUUUUCAUAUACACCAUAAGAAUGUAACAGAAUGUAAUUAUUAGACUUUAAUGUCUUAUAAACUAUAUACAACUUUCAGCAACGGAUCUCUUGGCUCUC